Molecule: long non-coding RNA, 244 nt
Filed under: Glycine max (soybean)
Lineage: Eukaryota; Viridiplantae; Streptophyta; Magnoliopsida; Fabales; Fabaceae
Description: long non-coding RNA (GMAX_LNC000947)
Source: RNAcentral
GAUGUUGUUUGAUGAAUGAAUGUUGUGGAUCUAAUUUGUUUGUUGAUAUUGCUGAGGAGGUUAUAGAUCUGAGUGAACGGUGGUUGCAUUGUUUAUGGUGUGAUGAUUAUGAAGUUUGCAAAAAAAGAUGAUGAAGAUUAGGGAAGUAGGUGAUUGAAUGUAUUUUAAAAACAACUGUUUUUAACCACUACUAUUUUAAAUUAAUUACGCGAUGUGGCUAUGAGGUGACAUGAUGAUGUUGUUU